GACGAACGCUGGCGGCGUGCCUAAUACAUGCAAGUUGAGCGCUGAAGGUUGGUACUUGUACCAACUGGAUGAGCAGCGAACGGGUGAGUAACGCGUGGGGAGUCCGCCUUUGAGCGGGGGACAACAUUUGGAAACGAAUGCUAAUACCGCAUAAAAACUUUAAACACAAGUUUUAAGUUUGAAAGAUGCAAUUGCAUCACUCAAAGAUGAUCCCGCGUUGUAUUAGCUAGUUGGUGAGGUAAAGGCUCACCAAGGCGAUGAUACAUAGCCGACCUGAGAGGGUGGUCGGCCACAUUGGGACUGAGACACGGCCCAAACUCCUACGGGAGGCAGCAGUAGGGAAUCUUCGGCAAUAGACGAAAGUCUGACCGAGCAACGCCGCGUGAGUGAAGAAGGUUUUCGGAUCGUAAAACUCUGUUGGUAGAGAAGAACGUUGGUGAGAGUGGAAAGCUCAUCAAGUGACGGUAACUACCCAGAAAGGGACGGCUAACUACGUG
RNAcentral lists this ribosomal RNA (497 nucleotides) under uncultured bacterium. Its description in RNAcentral is "partial 16S ribosomal RNA". It matches the Rfam family "Bacterial small subunit ribosomal RNA", at positions 28 to 507 of the family's 1533-position model. The record is from RNAcentral.